CGGGGAGUAGCGCAGCUCGGUAGCGCACCUGACUGGGGGUCAGGUGGUCGCGGGUUCAAAUCGCGCCUCGCCGACCA
Molecule: transfer RNA, 77 nt
Filed under: Chloroflexota bacterium
Lineage: Bacteria; Bacillati; Chloroflexota
Description: Chloroflexi bacterium tRNA-Pro
Rfam family: tRNA
About the family: Transfer RNA (tRNA) molecules are approximately 80 nucleotides in length.
Source: RNAcentral